AAUAUCCCUUAAUGGUUUUUACUUUGCACAGAAGAGCAAUCAAGGUCUUGCCUGCAGACACCGCAGAAACUAUAUGUGCCUCUACAUAAAGCUGAUGCUCAGAAAGGACUGAAAAUAAUUGCUGGACGCAGAAAUACAACUAACAGAGAAAAGUACUUCUUAGUACACACUGGGGGAGAUAAGUGUCUCUUGGUGUGAAGGUAAUACUCUUUGGGGUGUUACAGGAUGAAUAAUAGCCAAAGUCAACACUUUCAAUAGAGAAGAAUGUGCCUUUUAGCAGCGGAAGAAACAAGAUCUUCAUUUGCUGACUAGUGAUAUAUGACAGACAGAAGCUGUCUAAGGUCUUAACCGGUUUGCCUGGCUUCAAACUCCAAUUUCCUCCCAUAUGCUAUAGAAGUGACCACAAAAGUACAUAGUAAUAGCCACAUUUUUUAUCUAGGGCCUACCACAUGACAAAUUCUAUUCUAUAUUAUCCCUAAUCCUCACAAAGACACUGUAAAGUUGUUACUUCUGAUCUUCUGCCUAGUAGUUGAGGAAACUAAUGAUAAAAUGUCUGGAACUCCCAUGUUUAAGUUAAUUGCCUCUAAAUCCCUUCAUUUUACCAAUGUUUGUCUUAUUUCACUCUAAAUUCAUUUUACCCUUUUCAGCUUUGCUAUGGUAGUCUGAAAUGAUCCCAGUUCCCCUCUUUUCUAUAUCCAUGGUCCUUUGGAUUGUGGCUUCCCAAACAACAUAUAGAGUCUUUUUCUCCCUUUUUAUGUCUGGGAUUGGCUAUGUGACUUACUUUGGCCAAUGAGACAUAACAAACAUGAUACAAGCAGAGUCUUGAAAAAUAUUUGAUCUUUGGGACUUGUCUGCCUAUUGUUGGGAAUCCUGUCAUAAUGAGAAUGAGCCUGUGCUAGACUGCUUGGUGAUGACAGCCAUACGGCCUUCAUCCCAGAUGACAUUAAGGUGACUAUCAAGCAUGUGACUGAGUUCCUUCCCCUAUAAAACCAACCAACUUGCUAGCUCCUAAACAUCUAACUUCAGCCAAGUUAGCACACACACAACUCAAGUAAGUGUGAGAACUAUAAUAAAUGUUUCCUGUUUUAAACUAC
Long non-coding RNA from Neofelis nebulosa (Clouded leopard), 1094 nucleotides. RefSeq lists it as uncharacterized. The transcript has 3 exons. The record is from RefSeq and is a predicted model, not a curated record. NCBI's taxonomy places the organism in Eukaryota, Metazoa, Chordata, Mammalia, Carnivora, Felidae.